This 55-nucleotide small RNA is filed under the name Rhodococcus sp. WAY2. RNAcentral describes it as "TPP". Lineage: Bacteria; Bacillati; Actinomycetota; Actinomycetes; Mycobacteriales; Nocardiaceae. The record is from RNAcentral.
GGCGGCUGAGAACACACCCGUCGAACCUGAACUAGGUAGUGCUAGCGAAGGGAUG